This 998-nucleotide ribosomal RNA is filed under the name uncultured marine bacterium. RNAcentral's name for it is "bacterial SSU rRNA". It matches the Rfam family "Bacterial small subunit ribosomal RNA", at positions 67 to 1057 of the family's 1533-position model. The record is from RNAcentral.
CGGGGAAAUCUUUGGAGCUUGCUUUGAGGAUUCCUAGUGGCGCGCGGGUGAGUAACACGUGAGUAACAUGCCUCGUAGAGGGGAAUAGCCCGCCGAAAGGCGGAUUAAUACCCCAUAGUCCCGCAAGGGUAAAGGUGGCUUCGGCUGUCGCUACGAGAUUGGCUCGCGUCCUAUCAGCUUGUUGGUGAGGUAACGGCUCACCAAGGCAACGACGGGUAGCUGGUCUGAGAGGACGAUCAGUCACACUGGAACUGAGACACGGUCCAGACACCUACGGGUGGCAGCAGUCGAGAAUAAUUCACAAUGGGGGAAACCCUGAUGGUGCAACGCCGCGUGGAGGAUGAAGGCCCUAGGGUCGUAAACUCCUGUCAUUUGAGAGUAAGACCUGGUCGUUAAUAGCGGACAGGGUUGAUAGUAUCAAAAGAGGAAGGGACGGCUAACUUCGUGCCAGCAGCCGCGGUAAUACGAAGGUCCCGAGCGUUGUUCGGAAUCACUGGGCGUAAAGGGAGCGUAGGCGGAUAGGUAAGUCAGAUGUGAAAUCCCGGGGCUCAACCUCGGAACUGCAUCCGAUACUGCCUGACUAGAGUAAUGGAGGGGUAACUGGAAUUCUCGGUGUAGCAGUGAAAUGCGUAGAGAUCGAGAGGAACACUCGUGGCGAAGGCGAGUUACUGGACAUUUACUGACGCUGAGGCUCGAAGGCCAGGGUAGCGAAAGGGAUUAGAUACCCCUGUAGUCCUGGCAGUAAACGGUGUGCGCUUGGUGUGAGGGGUUUCGACCCCCCUUGUGCCGGAGCUAACGCGUUAAGCGCACCGCCUGGGGAGUACGGUCGCAAGACUAAAACUCAAAGAAAUUGACGGGGACCCGCACAAGCGGUGGGAGUAUGUGGCUUAAUUCGAUGCAACGCGAAGAACCUUACCAGGGCUUGACAUGCAUUGCUAAUUCCGUGAAAGCGGAUGAGUCUUCGGACACCUUGCACAGGUGCUGCAUGGCCGUCGUCA